RNAcentral lists this ribosomal RNA (922 nucleotides) under uncultured bacterium. RNAcentral describes it as "bacterial SSU rRNA". It matches the Rfam family "Bacterial small subunit ribosomal RNA", at positions 9 to 916 of the family's 1533-position model. The record is from RNAcentral.
GAGUUUGAUCCUGGCUCAGGAUGAACGCUAGCGACAGGCUUAACACAUGCAAGUCGAGGGGCAGCGGGGGUGAUGGCUUGCCAUCACCUGCCGGCGACCGGCGCACGGGUGAGUAACACGUAUGCAACCUGCCCGCCACAGGGGGAUAAGCGGAAGAAAUUCCGUCUAAUACCGCGUGACGCGGCACCGGGGCAUCCCGGUGCCGCCAAAGGGAUUACCGGUGGCGGAUGGGCAUGCGGCGCAUUAGCUAGUCGGCGGGGUAACGGCCCACCGAGGCGACGAUGCGUAGGGGUUCUGAGAGGAAGGUCCCCCACACUGGUACUGAGACACGGACCAGACUCCUACGGGAGGCAGCAGUGAGGAAUAUUGGUCAAUGGGCGCGAGCCUGAACCAGCCAAGUCGCGUGAGGGAUGACGGUCCUACGGAUUGUAAACCUCUUUUGCCGGGGAGCAAGCGUGCGUUCGUGAACGCGCGUCGAGAGUACCCGGAGAAAAAGCAUCGGCUAACUCCGUGCCAGCAGCCGCGGUAAUACGGAGGAUGCGAGCGUUAUCCGGAUUUAUUGGGUUUAAAGGGUGCGUAGGCGGGAUGCCAAGUCAGCGGUAAAAAUGCGGUGCUCAACGCCGUCGAGCCGUUGAAACUGGCGUUCUUGAGUGGGCGAGAAGUAUGCGGAAUGCGUGGUGUAGCGGUGAAAUGCAUAGAUAUCACGCAGAACUCCGAUUGCGAAGGCAGCAUACCGGCGCCCUACUGACGCUGAGGCACGAAAGCGUGGGUAUCGAACAGGAUUAGAUACCCUGGUAGUCCACGCAGUAAACGAUGAAUGCUAACUGUCCGGCUCGAAUGAGCGCUGGGCGGUACAGCGAAAGCGUUAAGCAUUCCACCUGGGGAGUACGCCGGCAACGGUGAAACUCAAAGGAAUUGACGG